ACAGCCUUGAGCAACAACAACAACAAACAAAUGUCGUGUAAUUAUUACACGGUUGCAACAUGAAAAACAAACGAGCCCAAAACCGACAUGUUUUAUGUGUUUGUUUUUUUUUUGUAUUAAAAAAUGAUGUGUGUUGUGUGUCAAUUGCACACCGUGUGACCGAAAUUGCGAAACGACCGCGAAAACUAUCAGAUCAGAAAAAGAUGAUUACAGAGCCCAGACUUAAACUUUAUGACUUUGCGUUGCACACACAAAAAAAAAAAAAAAACACAUAUUUAAGAGCUUUUUACAGUCCAAAUGUUUCUUUUGUGUGCAUGUGUUCAACGUGUUUUUCUUUUUCUUUCUUUAAUGACAGUUGCGACCCGCAUACCGUCCGCAAGAUAACACAGGUGGAGAUGGACAGAUGCAGAGGAAGAAAAACGGGUUUUUCUUCUUGAUUAAAAAGCUUUGGCCAACACCAACGGUGAUAACCAGAAGUAUCACACACCCUCUGAAAAACGUGAAUCAUGUGAUGUUGGGAUGAGGACACCGCCAGCAAAGCAACGGGACAUCCACAAAAUCGGGAAGAUGACUCAAUUUCUUUUAUUUCACAUCCUUUGAAGAAAAGAAGAAGAAAAAAAAAAAAAAGUACAGUUCUUUUUGUUGUUGUUGUCGUGUUGACGUUGUUAACCCUCCGGUUGUUUUUGUAAUGAUGCACAUAAAAGAAAGGUAGAAAUACAUAACAGCAUAAAAU
Long non-coding RNA from Daphnia magna, 733 nucleotides. RefSeq lists it as uncharacterized. The transcript is spliced from 2 exons. NCBI's taxonomy places the organism in Eukaryota, Metazoa, Arthropoda, Branchiopoda, Diplostraca, Daphniidae. The record is from RefSeq and is a predicted model, not a curated record.